RNAcentral lists this long non-coding RNA (274 nucleotides) under Lathyrus oleraceus (garden pea). Its description in RNAcentral is "Pisum sativum (pea) long non-coding RNA (PSAT_LNC022587)". The record is from RNAcentral. Lineage: Eukaryota; Viridiplantae; Streptophyta; Magnoliopsida; Fabales; Fabaceae.
CAUCCCUUAUCCUAUGAUUAUGAAAAUUUAUGGAGUGCUUCCUAACAUGUAUAGCUUUGAUUUGGCUUUGGUCCCACUCAUUUCUAAUUUAAUCUCACUGUUUUACAUUUGAUUGAAGUUAGUGUACAUGUUGUGACCUAGUUUAGGUUGCGUUUUUGCAUGCUUUAACAUGUUGAUUUAAUUGACAUAGCUCCACUAGUCCAAAUGGCAUGAAAAUUGAUAUGUAGCUCAUUGAAUGCCCUAUGUUUAGGACAUAAUUUUUGUGGAAUUUACU